Molecule: ribosomal RNA, 468 nt
Filed under: uncultured bacterium
Lineage: Bacteria
Description: partial 16S ribosomal RNA
Rfam family: Bacterial small subunit ribosomal RNA
Source: RNAcentral
GACGAACGCUGGCGGCGUGCUUAACACAUGCCAGUCGAACGGAAAGGUCAUGCUUUUGCGGGGUGCUCGAGUGGCGAACGGGUGAGUAUCACGUGAGUAACCUGCCCUUGACUUUGGGAUAACUUCAGGAAACUGGGGCUAAUACCGGAUAGGAGCUCCUGCUGCAUGGUGGGGGAUGGAAAGUUUUGGCGGUUCGGGCUGGACUGGAAGCUCAUCCGCUUGUUGGUUGGGUAGUUGCUUACCAAGGUUUCGAAGGGUAGCCGGCCUGGGAGGGUGACCGGCCUCAAUAGGACUGAGGGACGGCGCAGACUGCUACGGGAGGCAGCAGGGGGGAAUAUGGCGCAGUGGGCGGAAGUCAGUUGCAGCAGCGCUGCGUGCGGGAUGACGGCCUUCGAGUGGAAAACCGAUUUCGCCUGUGACGAAGCGUGAGUGACGGUAAUGAGUAAAGAAGCACCGGCUAACUACGUG